Non-coding RNA from Multifurca ochricompacta, 91 nucleotides. The record is from the annotation of a GenBank genome assembly. Lineage: Eukaryota; Fungi; Basidiomycota; Agaricomycetes; Russulales; Russulaceae.
GGCAAUAUGGCCGAGCGGUCUAAGGCGCUGGAAUCAGGUUCUUUCCCUAAUCCAGUCCGAAAGGGCGUGGGUUCGAAUCCCACUGUUGUCA